RNAcentral lists this long non-coding RNA (498 nucleotides) under Lonchura striata (white-rumped munia). Its description in RNAcentral is "domestica (Bengalese finch) lncRNA (ENSLSDG00000003401.1)". The record is from RNAcentral. Lineage: Eukaryota; Metazoa; Chordata; Aves; Passeriformes; Estrildidae.
GCCGUGGCAUCCCUUGGAAGUGGGCUGUGCGUGCCCUCCGACCCGGCCCGCAGUGGGGUCAGACCCCUCUGAGGACGAGCUCCUCUCCCGUUUUCCUUCCUCCACCCCGUGCCGGGAGCCUGCACGGGGCUUUGCUCGCCUCGGGGCGGAGGAAAAUCCGUCUGACUCGUCAGUCAGAACGGAGAAUCGAGAAGUUCAAUCCCGGCGCGCCCAGAGGAGCCGGCGAGUUCCUGCCCGCUGUCACCGCUGGCGUUCCGGAGCGCGGACGGACUGACAGACUGACGGUGGUGGAUGUGGACUUUUAAACUGUGUCUCAACAUCUCAUCCUCAACUAUUUUUAGUCUGAUUGCACUACGAAAGAAAAGCUGCUAAUGGGAUAAAUGUUGAGACUUUACAAGAACUGACUUGAAGUACCGAAAGCCAUUAUUAUUAUUAUUUUAUUAUUACUAUUAUUAAUCAAGAAGAGCUUGAAGCUAAGUCUAUAUCUGAUCAGUUGUU